Caretta caretta (loggerhead turtle) is the source of this 2417-nucleotide RNA transcript. It is a transcript of the gene named parkin coregulated like, with no coding region annotated. NCBI's taxonomy places the organism in Eukaryota, Metazoa, Chordata, Testudines, Cheloniidae. The record is from RefSeq and is a predicted model, not a curated record.
UGCUCCCCAGCCCCGCCUGCAGUCACUUCGCAGGAAGUUUGGCCUUUCCGCAACCCGUAGACACCGCGGAGCUUCCUUAGCAACCGGCGGGACUGGAGGUGUCGCUGAGAGCGAGGCGCUGCGGAGCCCCGGCCUCUGGCGGACCUGGAAUUUAUGAUAAAAGAAUGUCAUCAGGUUUCCAAAUAAAACCAAAGACUGCAAUACAGAAAAGCAAGACAUCUUCAUCUCCUUCAUCUAGUUCUCCAGAUCUUGCGGUUAAGCCACAACCAAGGCCCAGUGAUAAACUUAACCCCAAAACUAUUGAUCCGUUUGGGGAUCGUUCAAAAGCUCCUUCUGCAUUUUCUGCCAUUUACUCUAAAGGUGGUAUACCUUGCAGGUUGGUUCAUGGCUCAGUAAAACACAAAUUACAGUGGGAAUGUCUUCCUGAAACUCUUCCAUUUGAUCCUCUUCUUAUUACUUUAGCUGAGGGACUAAGAGAGACAAAACACCCAUAUACAUUUGUAUCAAAGGAGGGCUUUAAGGAAUUACUCUUGGUUGAAGAUGCUACUGAAAAAGCAAUUCCCUUGUUGCCUCGACUCGUUCCAGUGUUAAAGGCUACUCUGGCCCAUUCAAACAGUGAAGUAUUUGAAAGAGGAUUGAAUGCUUUGGUACAGCUGAGUGCCAUUGUUGGUCCUGCUCUUAAUGAUCAGCUGAAACAUCUACUCACAAGCAUUUCAAAGAGGUUAAUGGACAAGAAAUUCAAAGAGCAAAUCACUGUUGCAUUACAAAAGCUAGAGCAGUAUGGUGGAAAGGAGAGUGUAACUAUCAUCAAAUCUAAAAUUCCAACCUAUUGUUCCAUCUCCUUUUGAAUGAGAGAACCAUAUAGUCAUUUACACUGCGUAGUGUCGUUGUGGGCAUCAGAAGCUGACUGUGGAUGCUGUUGGAAUUUCCUUAUGUAAACAGACCAUUGAAACAGAUAUUAGACUGUCUAGAUAUUACUGCAUUCUGAGCACUGAAGUGAGAUGGAAGCUUCAAAAGACCAUUAUCUCCUUUUUCCUCAUUAAAACCGGAAUUUCCAAUGGAAUACCUAGAGGUUCAAGUAAAAAAAACUGACAAAGUCCGUACCAUCUUUUAUAUUUCCUGUGCAGCUUUCGGGCUACAAGGUGUUUAUAAAUUGUUGCUCAUGGAUAGACAUGCUUUUCCUAGUCUUGCUUACCCAUACCUGUAUUGCGAAUUCUUGUCUGCUGGCCCCCUUUUCAUAUAUACCAAAAGGGCAAAACAUUGACUCUGAUUGUUGAUUUUCCUAAUCUCCUUUACCCUAUCUAAGACAAUCCAAAUAGAGCUGGUAUGUCCAUUGAAAUCUACUGUAUUUUACUGUAUUUAUUGUUAGACAGAAUUGAUGGUUUUAGUUUGAGAAAAGAACUGUCAAUGGCUACAACAAUCUGCAUGAUCUAAUCAAUUGUUGCUAGCCCUUUUUCCAGUUUGGAUCUCAACACUUGAUCUAAUGUAGUAUGACACCCUCGGUAUGUACCAUGCUCCUCUAGUAGCUUGUAACCUUGUACAAUGUACAAAUAACAAGAAGCUUUGGUGUUUAAUGUUUUCAUAAUAAAAUUGCAGAACUUAUUUUUAUAAGGCUGUCUUGUCUAACUGUAGACAAGUUCUUAAAUAAUAGCUCAUUCAGUUAUCCUACAAUGAAUAAAUGUGAAUUCUGGCAGAGAUAUACCCAGCACAAGACUCAAAUAUUCACAUAACAAUUUGUCUACUACAUGGUAGCUUUGCAUAGGAAGAGACGAUGCAAACACACUAGUGGAAUAGGUGAACAUUAGCUUUUCAAAAACUAUCACCUCUAUGAAUACAAAUAUUGUAUAUGUUCGCACAUGUAACUGACUGUUUUGUAGAACAGGUCGCCAGACAUACCUUUUUGUAAAGGUGCCUAGAAGUGUAAGCUACAUCUUUACACCCAAAUCCUCUAAUUGGUAGUACCAUGUGACAACCCUUUAGCCAGCUGAUAGGAGUAACUAAAUAUCUUACAUUUAUCAUUACUUACUUUUUGGCAGCUUUCAAUGAAUUCAUCUAUGGUAACUACCCCAUCUUUAUUCUUGUCCAUUUUCUGUCCAGAAAGAUAAGAACAUUUGCUUAAAUCAUGUUAAAAUCCUACUUAAAAACACUGAAUUUUAUUACUUAUUUCAGAGUUAUAUUGCAGGCUGGUGGCCACCCAGGUCAGGGUAUCAUUUUACUAGACACUAUAAGUACAUUACAGUCCCUGCCUCAGAGAGCUUCCAGUCUAUAAAAGUCUAGACAUAACAGAUCAGUUGGACGAGUAGGUUGGGAUGUGGGAACAGGGAAGAUAGAGUAACAAAAAUAAUAGGAUGUGCCAGUGAAAACAUGGGAGUUUUCUUGUAGACCAUCCUUUUUUGUUGUCUUGCCCUACCUGGAAA